GUAGGUGAACCUGCGGAAGGAUCAUUACAGAGUAUCAUGCCCUUCGGGGUAGAUCUCCACCCUUGAAUAACAUACCUUUGUUGCUUUGGCAGGACGCACUCGUGCCAGGGGCUUCGGCUCUUGAGUGCCUACCAGAGAACCACAACUCUGUAAUAAAUGUCGUCUGAGUACUAUAAAAUAGUUAAAACUUUCAACAACGGAUCUCUUGGUUCUG
RNAcentral lists this unclassified non-coding RNA (214 nucleotides) under rhizosphere metagenome. Its description in RNAcentral is "partial ribosomal RNA internal transcribed spacer region". The record is from RNAcentral.